GGGCCGGUGGUUUAAUCCGGUAUAACGUCCGCAUGGCAUGCGGAAGGCUACGGGUUCAAAUCCCGUCCGGUCCA
This 74-nucleotide transfer RNA is filed under the name Candidatus Aenigmatarchaeota archaeon. Its description in RNAcentral is "tRNA-Ala". It matches the Rfam family "tRNA". Rfam says of the family: Transfer RNA (tRNA) molecules are approximately 80 nucleotides in length. Their secondary structure includes four short double-helical elements and three loops (D, anti-codon, and T loops). Lineage: Archaea; Nanobdellati; Candidatus Aenigmatarchaeota. The record is from RNAcentral.